AGCCCUAAAACUCACAAGAAAUCCAACAAAAAUCGAAGAUAGAACAAGCUAAAAAUUGGGGCUUUUAAUAAAUUUGUGAUCACCCAAGCUAGGAGAUUGCAAGUUUGACUCUGACAAGCUAGGUAGGAGCUUGGAAAUGAACGGGUCAAAUGGAUACAAGUUCAAGUAUGAAGCUCGCAAGGAUGCAAGGUAAAUGAUAUCGGCUAUCCGGAUGAAGAUCAAGCGCCUAACAAGAACCGAACACACGAUAAAUGAAGCUUCCGCAUUUGAGUUUAAACCUUGUUUUCAAAAGUGAACUAUGUAAACACUUAUAACAUGGUUGUUGGAACGUUUUAAAUAU
Helianthus annuus (common sunflower) is the source of this 340-nucleotide long non-coding RNA. RefSeq lists it as uncharacterized. The transcript is spliced from 3 exons. NCBI's taxonomy places the organism in Eukaryota, Viridiplantae, Streptophyta, Magnoliopsida, Asterales, Asteraceae. The record is from RefSeq and is a predicted model, not a curated record.